CAGGUCAGCCACUGAGUUAUAGCCCCAGCCCGGGUCCUGCAAUUUUUAAGGCACCAAGCCUUAUAGGGACUGCUGGGGGAGUGGCUGUACUUCUGACCCACACUUAUAGGGAAAAUCAUUCCUUGAGUCCUCGUUUAUUUGUGAUGGUUAUAGACAUCCCAGGAGCAGACAGGGACCAAGGGUCUAGCACAUUUGCUAUUGGAACCCCAUAAAUCAAAUAAGGGUUCUGUAGAUAAAAAAAAACAUUGAUAUAUUUGGUGUAUGAAAUCCUCCACUUUUGAUGUUUUUGAGGGCCUUCCUCUGACCCAAAGUCUCUGAAAGCAGAAACCAGGUCACAUCGCUUAAUUGGAUAGCAUCUAGCCCAGUUCCACUUCCACAUACAAGCUUCUAGACCUACCGGGCUGUUAACUUCAAGUUGAGGAGCAUGUCUGGAACAUUAUUAUCAUUCCUUAGUGCUUAGCUCAAUGUCUGGCACAUAGUGGUCAUUUCAGUAAAUUUGUCAUAAGGGAAUUAAAAAAUGACAAUCAUGUUGAUAAGAAUGAUAGUGGGGAUGGUAAGAAAGAUUUUCUUGAAAGCAAGAAGAUGCUUUGUAACGUAUGACAUCUCCCCUCAGCCGCACGCAGUUUCCUGAAAGUCAUGGCUAUGCCUUCUUUCAUUAAAGGAGAAUGGAAGCUGAUCUUUAGAUGAGGUCCUUAUCCUUCUCCUUCCAUCAUGCCCACACCAGAAGCUAUCAGGAAUAAAGAAGGGAACAAGAGACAUCUGGUUGGGCAUGAUACCUAGUGAAGAGAUACAGAGUUCUCUGCAUGCCUGCCUUCAACUGUUGCAGCUAGGGUCAACUUCAAUGUCUUUUGCCAACAACUUAUCAGGAAAGACCAUGACUUUCUGGACUCAGAAGAUUCAAUUUUUCAGCUGUGCCACCACCAAUGGCUCUUGUCCACUGUCCAGGUCCUCAACUCCUGGUACAGAGGCUUUGGAAUAAAGUUUAACCCCUAUAUCCUCAGUACCAACCAUAUUUCUCCUCUCUCCAAAGCAAGAAUACAUCUGUACAAUAACGUGUCAUUUUAUCUGUAGAACAAGUCUAUGAGAUUGAUGGAGAAGGAUUGAUUCUGGCACAGAGAAAGGAAACCACCUGCCCAAAAUAUUUCAAGAUUCCUCAUCCCAGGGCUUUCCCCUCUGACACACAUCAUAAGGCUCAUCCAAUAAAAAGCACUCUUCAUCUCCUAAGAUCAUCUAAAAUUCUACAAGUUGAGAGAUCCUAAAAUGGUAAAAGCUGUCAAGUAAGAACAGAUUUCAAUAGACCAUCAAAUCCACCCUUUUGUUUUCAGAAGUUCUAAUGUCUAGAAAUUGAGUGUUUACUGGGAAAGAACUUGAAUCUGGAGUAAAAAGACCUAGACAGUAAGUCCUAAAUCUACCACUAAGUGGACAAUCUUGGGUAAGUCAUCUAACCUCUGUGAUUUAAUCUAUAGAAUGAAGACAAGAAUAUUUAUAAUAUUUACAUUUUUCUACUUUACACAUUUAUUGUGAGGAUUCAAUGAGAUGCUGUACAUGAAAACUGUAAAAUACUAGACAAAUGUUAAUUUUAACAUAGCCAGAUUUGCAUCUUUGGAGGCUGUUUAUAUAAUAUAAAUAGUAAUCCUUCUGUUUCAUGAGAAAGUUUUACAAGCAUAGAGAUUAGGAACUCAGUUCUAGAGUUAGGCUGCCUAGGUAGCCUUGGGCAUGCUACUUCUCUCUGAAGUCUCAGUGAAGAGGAACUAAUAACCCAUCUUAUAGGUCUGGCAUUAUUAAAUUAGAUAAUGUAUAGACAGUCCUUAAGAUGUACCUAGUAUGGAGAAAGGAAUUCAGUGAAUCUUAGUUACUAUCAUUACUGAUUUUAUUAAUGAAGAUGUGAGGCAGGGUGGUUCAAUAAGACCAGUGAGUGAUACUAGAGAUUUGAGAUAGGAAUCAAAAGGACCUGUUUCCCUACUUACACUACAGUAAGAAUUUUUUUUCUCUUCCAGAUCAUCAUGAGGAUUUUUUAAGUGUAUAAAAACUUUGAACUAGAUUAUUGAGAAACAAUAUGAAUGCAGGCUAUUUUUAAAACUGAGCUAAGUUUAUGAAGACAGAGUUCUUGUUGGAUAAACCCCAAGUAGGAACUUGGAAACAUGGAGAAAGACAAAUGAUGUGUUUGUCACUCGAGGCAAGGUAGCUAUUAAGUGCACGAAUUCAAUGCAAAUGGCAGGCAAACGGUAUGCAAACUUUGCAUUAAUUUAUAGAGUCUUAGUGUGGACUUUGCAAGCUGCACUGAACUUCUAUGAGGUUUCUAGAUUAAACUAAAUGUAAUACCUUUACAAA
This is a non-coding RNA of Ictidomys tridecemlineatus (thirteen-lined ground squirrel), 2331 nucleotides long. The record is from RefSeq and is a predicted model, not a curated record. NCBI's taxonomy places the organism in Eukaryota, Metazoa, Chordata, Mammalia, Rodentia, Sciuridae.